This 538-nucleotide ribosomal RNA is filed under the name Lactiplantibacillus plantarum. RNAcentral's name for it is "bacterial SSU rRNA". It matches the Rfam family "Bacterial small subunit ribosomal RNA", at positions 337 to 879 of the family's 1533-position model. The record is from RNAcentral. Lineage: Bacteria; Bacillati; Bacillota; Bacilli; Lactobacillales; Lactobacillaceae.
UCCUCCGGGAGGCAGCCACUAUGGAAUUUUUCCACAAUGGACGAAAGUCUGAUGGAGCAACGCCGCGUGAGUGAAGAAGGGUUUCGGCUCGUAAAACUCUGUUGUUAAAGAAAGAACACAUCUGAGAGUAACUGUUCAGGUAUGGCGGUAUUUAACCAGAAAAGCCACGGCUAACUACGGCCAGCAGCCGGGGUAUACGUAGGUGGCAAGCGAUGUCCGAUUUAUGGGCGAGAGCGAGCUCAGGCGGGUUUGAAGUAUGAUGGAAAGCCUUCGGCUCGAGCGUCGAAGUGCAUUGGGAAAUGGGAGAGUAGAAGAGGGAAGAGGACAUUCAACUCCGCGGUAGCGGGGAAAGAUAGGUAUAACACCAACGGCAGGGCGAAUGUGGUGUUUUAACUGUCGCUGACGCUGAAGCUCGAAGGGAGGGAUCCAAACAGGAUUCGAUACCGUGCUAGUCCAUACCGUAAACGAUGAGUGUUAAGUGUUGGAGGGUUCCGCCCUUCAGUGCUGCAGCUAACGCAUUAAGCAUUCGGCCUUGGGA